UCUUUACGUCGAAAUUCUUCUUAGCAAGUUGUGUUAAGCGGCAUGAUAUGUUGGCAACAACAGCAGUUUAGAGUGAUGUUCAAGAAAAAGGGUUCAUUCAGGUUGUUACAAAGGAAAUUCUCAGGAUGAGGAGUUUGGUGUCUACAGGCUAUUGAGGUUGGAUAAGGAUUGAGUCAAAGGGCUUCUGGUUUGAGGCAGUGGUGAUUCAGGUUCUGCAGGAGCUUCAAGUUAGCAUCGACAUCACCUGGAAAUUCUGGAGAAGAAGAAUCAGUAGAUUUCUAGUCACGAUCGCAUUAAGUGUGACAAACCAAAGAUGACGUUGAACAGGUAGCGUCAGAGAAAGCAGAUGGCAUUCGGUUGUGGUACACAACAACGGCGUCAGAGACGAAGGAAGAAACGUUCACAGAGGAUGAUCUCAAAGCACGUGGUGGUUUCAGGUUGGUGAAAUCAUAAUGAGAGACUUGCAAGGGAUGCAGCAAUAUUUGCAAGAAAGGAAAGACUCGCGUAACCUGCAGCAAGAAGGCUGCACAGGUGGGCAUGUUCGUGAUCAAAAGUGUUGGAGAUUGAUUUGAGUCGUUUGACAUGGAGAAUAUCUCAAGGGAAAACAG
RNAcentral lists this long non-coding RNA (608 nucleotides) under Brassica napus (rape). RNAcentral describes it as "long non-coding RNA (BNAP_LNC020170)". Lineage: Eukaryota; Viridiplantae; Streptophyta; Magnoliopsida; Brassicales; Brassicaceae. The record is from RNAcentral.